This is a long non-coding RNA of Manis pentadactyla (Chinese pangolin), 634 nucleotides long. RefSeq lists it as uncharacterized. The record is from RefSeq and is a predicted model, not a curated record. Lineage: Eukaryota; Metazoa; Chordata; Mammalia; Pholidota; Manidae. The transcript has 4 exons.
CAAACACGAAACUGCCUCCUCCGAAUGCCUGCCACGUAGUCAGCCCUUACGGGCAGCUUCCCUUUUCUUACUCGCGAGGAGGCUUGGAGGGAAGGAGUCUUAAGGGGCCCGAAUACCAGGAAGAGGAGGUUUAAAGAGGUCAAGAAACUUGGCUGUGUCCACACACUGAAUUUGAACCCAGCAUCAUCUUGCUUGAUCCAACCAGGUCUUUUCUUCUUUCUAUUUCAUACCAGAAGGCCUGCCACAGAGGGUUCCUGCAAGGUCAAAGGGAGACAACCCAUGCGAAUGCGCUGUGCACACCAGGUCCUUAAAGAUGUUUUUUGAAUGACUGAACAAAUGGUCCCUUGCCAAAAGGAGCGAGAUUUCAAAUAUGCUGCCAGGGGGAGAGAGCCACCUUUUUCUUUUCCCAUCCAUUUCAGGAAAAUUUAGGUUUUUAGUUAUUCCUGUGAUCGGCCUAGAGUUGCUUGCUACCAGAUUGAAAUAGGAAGACAUCAUGGAAAAAAAAGAGAUUUGCUUAAAAGGAACUGAAGCUUGUUUGGCCUGAUCCUCUGGGAAGUUGGACAGGUAGAAUGUAACAGUUUAGUUUCAAACUACCCCUUUAAAAAUACUGCCCUACAGGGUGGAAUCUGGUCCU